GACCUCAAAUCAGGUAGGACUACCCGCUGAACUUAAGCAUAUCAAUAAGCGGAGGAAAAGAAACUAACAAGGAUUCCCCUAGUAACUGCGAGUGAAGCGGGAAAAGCUCAAAUUUAAAAUCUGGCGGUCUCCGGCCGUCCGAGUUGUAAUCUGGAGAAGCGUUUUCUGCACUGG
RNAcentral lists this ribosomal RNA (174 nucleotides) under uncultured Corticiaceae. Its description in RNAcentral is "partial 28S ribsomal RNA". It matches the Rfam family "Eukaryotic large subunit ribosomal RNA", at positions 1 to 173 of the family's 3401-position model. Lineage: Eukaryota; Fungi; Basidiomycota; Agaricomycetes; Corticiales; Corticiaceae. The record is from RNAcentral.